RNAcentral lists this ribosomal RNA (432 nucleotides) under uncultured bacterium. Its description in RNAcentral is "partial 16S ribosomal RNA". It matches the Rfam family "Bacterial small subunit ribosomal RNA", at positions 29 to 507 of the family's 1533-position model. The record is from RNAcentral.
ACGAACGCUGGCGGCAUGCCUAACCCCUGCAAGUCGAACGAGACCUUCGGGUCUAGUGGCGCACGGGUGCGUAACGCGUGGGAACCUGCCCUUAGGUUCGGAAUAACUCCCCGCAAGGGGUGCUAAUACCGGAUAAUGUCUUCGGACCAAAGAUUUAUCGCCUUUGGAUGGGCCCGCGUUGGAUUAGCUAGUUGGUAGGGUAAAAGCCUACCAAGGCGACGAUCCAUAGCCGGUCUGAGAGGAUGAUCAGCCACACUGGGACUGAGACACGGCCCAGACUCCUACGGGAGGCAGCAGUGGGGAAUAUUGGACAAUGGGCGAAAGCCUGAUCCAGCAAUGCCGCGUGAGUGAUGAAGGCCUUAGGGUUGUAAAGCUCUUUUACCCGGGAUGAUAAUGACAGUACCGGGAGAAUAAGCUCCGGCUAACUCCGUG